CCGAGAGGGCGCGCCCUAGGGAGGGACGUGACCUCUUCAAGACUAGUGAGCUCCUUCCUGAGUAUGUUUGUCUUCACAAAAUAUCAUAUGAAGCAAUUAAUGCAUCAGACAUACCAGAGGGCGCGCCCUGUCAGAGGGAGGCGCGCAAUUCGUUCUCUUGAUAGAAUACUGGUUGGAUAUGGCGUACCCCUUUAGGAGGGCGCGCCUUGUUGGAGGAAAGUGCGACUACUCCUCACGGAGAAGAGGUGUAUUCCUCAUAAAGGUAACACCAUAUUACCUGUGAAUUUAUACAUGUAGUAGUCUUAGGGAACCAAAUAUUGAGGGAGUUUAGUAUUUACCUGAGGGCGCGCCCGGUCAGGGGAAGGCGCGCACCCUUACGACUUUUCGAGCUAGGUUCCAUCUGAAUAGCUCGCCCCCCGUAACUUUCCCUAGAGGCGCGCCCUGGCAAGGGAAGGCGCGACUUCUUCGAAAAUGUUAAAGGGUGCAUCCCUCAUGGUGGUGGUCGAACACCACGUUACCUGUAGUUUUCAACGUGCCAUACUUCUAGAGAAUGCAGUAACGAGGAGGUUUAGAGUAGAGUUUACCUGGAGGCGCGCCCUGUUAGGGGGAGGCGCGCUCUUUGAAACUUUUCAAGCUUCGCUCCAUUUGAAUAACUCUCCGCUCGUAACUUUCCCUUUCAUAUCAUUAUCUGCGGUCAGGUCUUCAACACGUGCCUCUCGUGAACCUCAAAUUACUUGCUCUGGGGAGGGCGCGCCCCUUCAGAAAACCGUUGAGGCUUCCAGGGAGGCGAUCUCCUUCUCGUAAAGACUCAAACCACAACAGACUUGUUAGCAAUAACAUGCGAAAGCAUUGUGAGAAUCUUACCCGGAGGUGCGCCUUCUUCGGAGAUGUCAGGGAAUUCAUUCCUCACGGUGGUAGUCGAGCACCACAUCAUUUGGAGGUGUACCCUGUCCGGGGGGAGGUGUACUCUGUCCGGGGGAGGUAUACCUUGUCCGGGGGAGGUGUACUCUGUCCGGGGGAGGUGUACUCUCUUCGUAGGUGUUAGGUCUCCGAAAAUCGCAUCCUUCGCUGACUCCCCGGUCCAGAAUACCUUGUUCGCAUAUUAGGUUACCUCCUAGAAUUUCGUUGAUGAUCGUCCUCCUUCAAACUCCCGAUGGAGAUAUCGUCCUUUUCUGGAGAAGUAGAUGAAGGUCUCCUCUUCUCUUGUGUUCUAGCCAUCGCCCUCCCGGAAAAUGCUCCGCCUCUACGUGCGAAUCUCCGUCAUGUGACAUCUCUUCCUCCUAAGAUGAAGAUCUUGAAUAGCCCCUCCUUCUAGCGCCAAUUUGUUGAUAGAGGAAUUUGGUAAUCAACAAAGAUGAGGUUCAUGGCCGGAAUCAAGAUCCGUGACGGUGGUUUUGGUCGCCGGAGAGUGGUGGUUGUUUGUUUUAGGGGGUGGCUGAGAUUAGGGUUUUGAGUUGGUCUCACGUGCUCUCAACUCAUGAUCCCCCAAUGUGCCUACGUACC
This 1503-nucleotide long non-coding RNA is filed under the name Daucus carota (carrot). Its description in RNAcentral is "long non-coding RNA (DCAR_LNC000568)". Lineage: Eukaryota; Viridiplantae; Streptophyta; Magnoliopsida; Apiales; Apiaceae. The record is from RNAcentral.